GAUGAACGCUGGCGGCGUGCCUAAUACAUGCAAGUCGAGCGAACAGACGAGGAGCUUGCUCCUCUGACGUUAGCGGCGGACGGGUGAGUAACACGUGGAUAGCCUACCUAUAAGACUGGGAUAACUUCGGGAAACCGGAGCUAAUACCGGAUAAUAUAUUGAACCGCAUGGUUCAAUAGUGAAAGACGGUUUUGCUGUCACUUAUAGAUGGAUCCGCGCCGCAUUAGCUAGUUGGUAAGGUAACGGCUUACCAAGGCAACGAUGCGUAGCCGACCUGAGAGGGUGAUCGGCCACACUGGAACUGAGACACGGUCCAGACUCCUACGGGAGGCAGCAGUAGGGAAUCUUCUGCAAUGGGCGAAAGCCUGACGGAGCAACGCCGCGUGAGUGAUGAAGGUCUUCGGAUCGUAAAACUCUGUUAUUAGGGAAGAACAAAUGUGUAAGUAACUAUGCACGUCUUGACGGUACCUAAUCAGAAAGCCACGGCUAACUACGUG
RNAcentral lists this ribosomal RNA (497 nucleotides) under uncultured bacterium. RNAcentral's name for it is "partial 16S ribosomal RNA". It matches the Rfam family "Bacterial small subunit ribosomal RNA", at positions 28 to 507 of the family's 1533-position model. The record is from RNAcentral.